GAUUUUAAUUGUAACUAACGGAAUUUGGUGACAAGCUAUUAUAGACAGACACAUUAGUUGUUGUUGUUGUAAACGACAUCUCCUCCACUUGUGUUUAUUUUAUUGCAAUGGCAGGAAUUUGCUUUCCCCCGUCGACCGAACCUUCUCAUUCUUUGGACUCGCAUACAUCGGACAUCAACGGACUAACGUUUUCUAAACAUGUUAUGGCCAGCUGUGCAGGCGACAAAACCGUUCGUUUGUGGUCGUUUCCAGGAUUCGCCGAAAUGAUUCCUCUUUCGCCUCUCUCGGGACAUAGUUUGUACGUGAACUCCUGUGCGUUUAAUCCGGCCGGGACGUUGUUGGCAUCUUGUUCCACGGACGGUAAACUAAUACUUUGGAAUCUAAAUACAGGACAGCAAGAAGCUGUCCUCGAACACCCGUCCAAAGGUGGUAUACGUGUGUGUAAGUUUUCUCCGAACGGUUUUUACCUUGUAUCCGGAAGUGACGAUGAGACCUUGUGUAUUUGGGAGUCCACUUCUUUAGAUUUGAUAAGGUGCCUGCAAGGACACACGACGUUUGUGGUGACUUGUGCCUUCAGUCCUGAUAGUAAAUUGCUGGUGUCUGGCUGCAAUACAGGAAAGCUUCGUGUUUGGGAUAUGUUUCAAAAUCUUGGUAGAGGCUUGCUUAAGGACUUUGAAGCACAUGAUCUCGAUAUGAUGGGAUGCGAUUUUUGGAGUAAUAUAUCUACAGAAAAUAAUCAUACCAAAUAUUUAUUGGCGACCUGUGGCCAAGACGCAUUACUAAAACUUUGGGAAAUUGUGUCAGCUGAUAUGACAAGUGUACAAGUUAACAAUAAAUUUGUCCUUACUGGACACAAAGCACCUGUCUCUGUUUGUUGUUUUGCUCAUCAUAAAAACCUGCUGGCUUCGGGAUCCUUUGAUAAAACUAUAAGACUUUGGGACCCUUCGGAAGGGCUGUGUAUUCAAAUACUUACCAGUCACACAAGGUAUGUGACAUGCUGUGCUUUUUCUUUGGAUGACACUCACCUAGCAUCUGGAUCCAAUGAUAAGACAAUUAAAGUGUGGAUCAUGGGAGGCAACGAACCUUCUCCAGAUGUCAGUAAUGUCAGUAGCGCAGCCUCUCAGACAUUUCCUUUCCCAACAAAAAUUUCUGUCAAUUCUGCAAACCUAGAGCAGCAGAAACCAGUUUGCAAAUGGUCUGUCGAUGAUGUGUGUAACUGGCUUGAAAAGUCUGGAUUAAACGAGAUUACUGAAAUAUUCAGAAAACAUGCCAUUGAUGGGCAUGAACUGUUAAUGCUGUCAGAUGAUGUCAUUGAGAAACAACUGGGAAUAGAGGCAUAUGGAAGCAGAAGUAAAAUUAUUCGUGCAAGGGACCAACUUACUAAACAAGUGUCUACAACUUCUCUGAUGUCUCUAAAAGAUUCACCAGAUGAAUUUCUGUGUCCAAUAACCAGAGAAAUUAUGAGAGAUCCAGUGAUUGCUUCAGAUGGCUACACUUAUGAGAGGACAGCAAUUGAGUCCUGGAUCAAAUCUGGCAGUAUACGCAGUCCAAUGACCAAUAUCAUUCUUCCUAGUCAACAGCUUAUUCCUAAUUUAACCGUGAAAAUGUUAAUCCAGAAUCAUGCCACAACGUAAGGCCAUGUAUGUGAGCAUGUGUGUGUGUGUGUGCGUGUGUGCAAGAGAAAGAGAGAGAGGGCAUAGUUGAAUGGUGUUGAAGUUCAUUUCAGUCAAGAGAUUCUUGGGUCAAUCCCACAGUGUAGCACCUUGGGCAAGUGUCAUUUGUUGUAGCUUUUGGUUGACCCAAGCCUUGUGAAUUAAAUUGACUUGACAGAAACUGUGAUACGCUAUCAAACAGACUGCAUUUGUAAAUUGAACUGCACACAAUAUCAUGCUGAUUCUGCCUGUAGAUUUUUUUGAAGAAGUGUACAAGGGUUUGUGGAAUAAACAAGUGGAAUGCUGAUGAUUCAAACUGACAAGGGAUCCAUUGCUUUGUCUGUGUAUGGGGCAGGUGGGUUAUCAAGUAACUUAGUGUCAUUGCAAGUUGGUGAAUGCCUUUAAAGUUUUAGCUUCUGUACCAGUCAUAUCACAAUGUUAAAUAUGUAUGCUUGCUUGUGUAACAUCAACGACCUUACCAACACUCAUUAGUGUACUUGCAGUACUUAUGUGUGCUUAGUGCCUGUUGCUUUGGUGUUCCUAUAGGGAGUAACUAUAGCAACACAAAUACUAACCCCAUACAGUCACAAUAAUUAUGUUCUGAACAUCAAACAAAAUUUUUAAUAAAACCGUGUAUGUUGUG
Molecule: unclassified non-coding RNA, 2295 nt
Filed under: Octopus sinensis (East Asian common octopus)
Lineage: Eukaryota; Metazoa; Mollusca; Cephalopoda; Octopoda; Octopodidae
Description: wD repeat, SAM and U-box domain-containing protein 1- like, transcript variant X1
Source: RNAcentral